RNAcentral lists this ribosomal RNA (431 nucleotides) under uncultured bacterium. RNAcentral's name for it is "partial 16S ribosomal RNA". It matches the Rfam family "Bacterial small subunit ribosomal RNA", at positions 29 to 507 of the family's 1533-position model. The record is from RNAcentral.
ACGAACGCUGGCGGCAUGCCUAACACCUGCAAGUCGAACGAGACCUUCGGGUCUAGUGGCGCACGGGUGCGUAACGCGUGGGAACCUGCCCUUAGGUUCGGAAUAACUCCCCGAAAGGGGUGCUAAUACCGGAUAAUGUCUUCGGACCAAAGAUUUAUCGCCUUUGGAUGGGCCCGCGUUGGAUUAGCUAGUUGGUAGGGUAAAAGCCUACCAAGGCGACGAUCCAUAGCUGGUCUGAGAGGAUGAUCAGCCACACUGGGACUGAGACACGGCCCAGACUCCUACGGGAGGCACCAGGGGGAAUAUUGGACAAUGGGCGAAAGCCUGAUCCAGCAAUGCCGCGUGAGUGAUGAAGGCCUUAGGGUUGUAAAGCUCUUUUACCCGGGAUGAUAAUGACAGUACCGGGAGAAUAAGCUCCGGCUAACUCCGUG